CCACCCCCAAUAUAACCCGCACCAAAACCCCCACCAUUGACAACUAUGGCUGUAACUCUGGCCGACCAUCCUAACGGCGGCGAUGUUGACCACCACCACCGUCCACCAAACCAACCAUCUUUUUCGCUUCCUAAGCUGGCAGUUUUUCUUGAUUCUAUGACCAAAUCUUGUUGAUUGUGACCAAAUCUUGUUGAUUUCUCACAACAAACCCAUAUUCUGGUUGUAUGAUUCAUGGGCUUUGUUGCUCAUGUUUCUUCCAGAGGAUGUAGGAUGCAAUUAACCAACAGGAAAGAAAAUAAGAAGCAAGUAAGAAGAAAAUCAAGAAAGCUUCAAAAGCAUCUGCAAAAGAAAGUUUUCGAUCACUAACAAUCUGAAGCGUUUAUGUUGAGCAACCUGAAGACCGCUACAAAGAAUAUCCAGUCAGAUAGUCUCAUCGGAGAAGGCGGGUUUGGCUGGGUGUAUAAAAGGCGGACUGGAUCGGUACGGUAUCGUACAGUUUCCAAUCUGGAUUGAAGUGAAGGAAGACGGAUGUAUGAUGACGUGUGUGUUGACGUUUGAGUGCAGAGAAUGAAAAAAGGAAUGGAGGUGGCGGUUGUGGUGGAGGUUGUUGAUGGUUGUGGGUGGUAGGUUGAGGAUGAAGAUGCUUUGUUGGUGGCGAUGGUAAGUGAAGGUUGAAGAUAACCAGAUUGUAGGUGGGUUCCACAACUAAAUUAUAAGAGUAAAUUACAAGUUUUGUCCUUUAUAUUUGUAGCAAAUUGCAGGCGCUGUCCUUUACCUUUAAAAUUGAUGACUUUUGUCCUUAAUGUUUUAAAAUCUUGCACGUUAUGUCCUUUAGCCCUAACCCAGUCAAAUUUUUUGGUUAAAUAUGGUCAUGUGUCUUGCACAUGAGGGUAGAACGGUCAUUUCCCCUCCCCCACUUGUGUUUCCCUUUUUAAAACCCUAAUAACACCCUCAAUUCAUCUUCAACCCCAAUUCAUCUUCAAACCCCAAACCCUAAUUCCAAAAUCAAUCAUCUGCAACAAAAUUCUCAACCCAAUUCUCACAACAAUCAUAUCAUUCAUCUUCAGACUAUGCGUAUUCUCUGAACCAUCAUCAGUUGGAUAUUAAUACGUAUUGUUCUUUCACCCAAAACAGAGCUCCAACGUACAGUGAGAAUUUUGAGGAGACUACCACUAGAUGAAUAAAAAAAUUACCCGUUUGAAACUUUGAAACUGGGGUUUACAAACAACCUCAAAUUCUUGCAUUGAUUGAUAAUACCACGCGUUUGACAUCGUUUCGUGAU
Molecule: long non-coding RNA, 1282 nt
Organism: Helianthus annuus (common sunflower)
Lineage: Eukaryota; Viridiplantae; Streptophyta; Magnoliopsida; Asterales; Asteraceae
Exons: 2
Source: RefSeq, a predicted model, not a curated record